Molecule: long non-coding RNA, 5214 nt
Organism: Oxyura jamaicensis (ruddy duck)
Lineage: Eukaryota; Metazoa; Chordata; Aves; Anseriformes; Anatidae
Exons: 2
Source: RefSeq, a predicted model, not a curated record
UUUUUUUUUAAUAUAUAUAUAUAUAUGUAGGAGUAGCAAUAUAAGUUACUCAUAUAUAUUUAGAGGAUUUACAUAUAUUGCAGGUAUGCCAAUAUCAUUUUUCCUUUUAAAGUUGAGUAAGCAAAUAUAUAUAUAUAUUUUCUUUUAUGCUGUUAAAUUCCUUUUAUCAGCCAGGUUUCCCUUCACUGGAAAGGUACAUAGAUAUUUUAGCAACAUUGGCUGGACAUUGUUUGCUUUCUGUAAUUAUUCUGUUGAAUAGAGGUACUAACAAUAAAGUCUGAUGAAUUUUGAGUAUAUUAUGGAAGAGUAUUUGCAAAAAGCAAAUUCUGAAUGAUUCAUAUCAGAUUUUUGAUAUGAAAAAUCAAGCUUCUGAGAUAGAAACAUAUUAUGUGCCUACUGACCUAAUCAAGCAGCUUGAAUUUUGAAUAUUCAAUUUGUAUAUAAAGCUUUUGCAAAUAAACUGCAGAUUUAGACUUGUUCAGCAAAUAUGUUUAAUUACAAGUAAUCUCUGAAAUUUCACAGCUUGUUUUGAGAUAAUUCAUACACAAGAAAAUAGGCUAUAAUUGUGUCAUUUCUGUGAAUUGUUCACCUUAAAUUGCUGGGUGAACUCAAUAAAUAACCUUCUUUUAUUUUUCUUUCCAGUUAAUGAAUUUCACAUUAAAAAAAAAAAACAAAAUGCUUCAGAAUUUUGUUUAUGCUAACUAAAUAUUGUGUUGUUUUCUUUCUUUACUGUCUGAAAUAUAAAUCUGCAGAUUAGUAUGUUUCUAUUUACACUUAAAAGUAUGACAAUUUAAUGGUAUUUAAUAUCACAUAAAAAUCAUACAAAAUAAUACCAUGACAAUUAUGUGCUUGUCUCAGAUUUGUAGUUUUGCAUCUGUAUUAUUUAAUUAUUGUCAACUGUUUCUCGUAUUUUCAUCUACAGCUGUUUGACAUCACAAACCUCAUCAACCUGAAUCUCUCCAGAGGCCAUUAGCAGCUGGUAAAACCUGGGAUUUUCAUCCCACUUGAAAUUAUGAUAUUAUGAUAAUUAAUAUCAUAAAAAAAUUAAAAUAUUUCUCAGCUUCUCACAUGAGACUGACAAGUAAGGUAUUGACCCUUUAUGAAUGCAAAUGAAAAGGAAGGGGUUUGGAAAUGUCUAAAUAUCUUGCUUGAGGUGUAGCGUAAUAAAAAACAUUUCACUUUGGGAUGCAGUUUUGAUUCAAACCAUUUUGUUUGGUGUUCAGCUGUGGCCACCAAGGCUCUCACUCUGUCUUCUAAUAGUUAUAUUUUUAAAGGAAGUUAUGCUUUUAUAGUCUUUUAUGGUCUACACAAACUAGUUUAUCCAAAUUCUACUGUGAUAAAGAAACCCAAGUCACUCAGAGAUUACAUGGAUGCAAGACAGUCAUAAAAUCAAAUCAGAGAAAUAAUUUUGUCAUAAGCCAAAUGACCUGAUACUCCCCUCAGACAAAAUGGUAAUUAAGGAGAACAUGCAUUAAUAUUCCAACAACUGAAAUGUAAACUAACUAUUUAAUACAUCCGGUACAUUCUAUUUAUUUAUUCCUUCAUUUAUUUAUUUAUUUAAAUUGUAGAUUGACUAAUGUUUAUAUCUACAUUUUCCCAUCUUCCUUUUCUGCCCCUUUCCCAUAAAAACAGCAACACCUUACCAGCCAGUUCUAGUCAUUUCUGAAAUAUCCACUUACGUAAAUGAGAAAUUAAACUAAUGUUAUCUUCUUGUUUUCCCUACUACAUGUGACUCUCAAAUACUGAAAGCAUAAAAAGUUCUUCCUCUACUACCUCUUUCCAAGGGAUUGUAGUUUACCCAAACACUUCAGAGUAGUCCUAUUCCCCAGAUUCCAGGUUGAAUUAAAAAGGAAAGGCUAUAGUCAGAACAGGCAUAUAUAGGAUAUAUAAGGUUAGACUAGAGAGCAGAGUUAAGUUUCUCUCCAACAGCCAAAAACAUGGCACAAAACCAAAAACAACAAAAAAACACUUUAUUUAUGCUUUAUUUAAAAAUAAUGAUAAUAAUAAUCUUUUCCAGAGAUCACUUUUUCUUCCCUCAGCUUGUGAUAUACAAUGUAACACUUUUUGUUCUACCUAACUCAAGUUUCAUGUCAUCCCAUAUUCAUCCCAUAUAUCAUGAAUUCAUCAGAUACUUCCCUCAGAGGUACAGAUAUGUUUCCAUUGCAUUUUUUGCUGUCACAUCAGUUAUGUUUGUCACUGGACUUGUUCCAUUCUGUGCUGUAUGACUGAGAGUAUUUUUUCAUCUUUUUCCUGGCUCUGUUUUAGGUGUCCAAAAUGUUCCACUAAAGGAAUAUUUGCAUAACAAUAUCUAUAAUCCUUGAAAUGUCUCAAUUUGUAUGGAUGUCUGUAGUUUAUGUCAGCCCAAGAGUUGUGGUUUGACAUGGUGUAUGUCUUAGUAGGAAAUGUCAGUUUGAAACCAGGUCAUCCUGUUACUCUGCUGUUUAUAUCAUUGCUAUUAUUCAUUGUCAGCAUUUUUUUUCCUAUAUUGAUCUUGAAUCAAGGAUAAGUUAAAUUAGUCUCUCAUCCUCUCGCCCAGCAGUAUUUCUCAAAUUAAGCUGCAUCAUCAGAACAUACAAAAUAUUUCUAAAAUAUUUAUAGUUCUUAAACCUUUUAUAAAAUAUCUCCCAUCAGAGCAAACUAAUAGAUGUCAGGCACAGAUAGCCUUGUAUGUCAAGAAUUCAUGGUAUAAGUGGGUACUGGCUCCCACUUGAAGAGACUUGUUUCACAUAUCUGUGAAAAUAAAUAUAGUUACCAUUAACAUGAUUUAAAAUGUCAUUACAUUGCAACAAAUUAAACAAGACCUUAAGGUAAAACUCAUAGAAACUGCAAGUACUGAGGACCACACUCAUAUCCUGCAUUAGUGGUUAUUUUGUAAAAGCAACAACAUGCAAUUUGAUAGAAGUUGCAUGACUGUUUAGUACACUUCAGUCACUGGAUAUCCGACUUCAGAAGCUAAAGUGGAAUUUGUAUAUUUUAGGAAAAUAAGAUAUUACAAAAGCAUUUUUAAUAGAGUUUGUGCUUUCAAGAUUGCCUAUAAGCAGUAGCAAAGAAAUUGCAGGAAGAAUGGUUUAAAAUAAAUAGGAAUCAAAUGCAUAUUGUUUCUAAAUGAAUGUGUCAGGCAGAAAUAUAAUAUUAUAUAAAAUGGUAAGAUAUGAACUUAAAACAGUGUGAUGGAUUUCUAUGUGGAAGGUCAACAGAAAAAAAAAAUACUCACUCAAAAGAUAUAUUUUUACAGGGACUAAAAUGAAAUCAGUACAGGUGAGAUUAUAAUGAUAUUUUGACAGAAACAUGGUAUUAUAAUGCUAUACCACAUGGAUUUAGAUACAUUGAACAUAAUCUAUAGAGCUCGUCUGGGUAUUGAGAAGUAUAAAAAUUAGAUCCCAAUAUGCCCUACAUUUGCCAGGCAAUAGUGCUGCAAUAGUAGAUAAUUCAGCAAAGUGGUACGUGCAGUUGUGUCAGGAAAUGACAAAAUAAACUUUCAAAUCACUUUAUUCCAACAAGGCAACAUACCAGACUCAAUAAAGAGGUAAUAAUGAAAGAAGCAAGGUACCGUUCCUGUCUGGAGAGCCAUCCUCUAUGUGGGGGCCAACAGAGGAGGAUUAUGCUCCAAAUCUACUUUUCUUCUCAUAAGGAAGGUCCCUGGAACAGGCAGUGUUCCAGUAACCAUUUGCCCUUUCACCAUCAAAAAUGGUGUUUGUAUUUAUUAGAGGUCCCUCUAAGCUGAAGCUGGGAUCAAGAAACAAUAGUAACUGGUUGCUGUUUACCAGCAUUUUUUUUCUUUUCUCAGCAAAGGACAAUGAGGAAGAAGUAGGGAUAGAGGAACAAUAUGCUACCAGCUUUUCCCAGUGCACAGAGAGAACCAGCCAAGCUCCUCACUGUUUGGAGAAGAGCUGUCAUUUGCAAGAAAAGGCUAUGGAGGCAUUCAAGGGACAGUGACCAAUGUACACAAGCUUUUCUUCAGACUGACACACAGAUAUAACUGAGGGGAAGGUGAGAAGAUAACUUUGAUUGUCUAUUUUCACCAAUAUAGUGAAAAUAACUUCUCAUCUAUCAUAAUUCUGUUGCAGACCUCAGUUGUUCCUCAGAGAAAAAGAAAGAAUACAAUUCAUCUACGGGAAAAAAUAAAAAUAAAAAAAAAUAAAAAUAAAAAGAGGUUAUGGGUAAAAGUGAGUGAUGCAGAAUGGACAUAACCAAGUCAGGAGGAUGGCAGGAGCUACAGAAGAAAAGGGGCUGUAAACCACAGACACAUGACAAGAAACUGGGAAGCGAUAUGAACUCACAGGCAGUUCAGAAGAAAAGCAGGAAGAGAGAAGAAACAGGAAGCCCAUAAUACUAAGAAUAAAUAAAAAUCAGAAGACAAUACAUAUGACAAAGAAGUAAUAUUGGACUGCUGAGUUGUGUUUACAUUAGUAUUUUAUUUCAGAAGCAUACUGUUAAAGCAAGCCUCCCAAUUCCCAUUUAUCAAACUUCCCUCACAAAUUAAACUUUGGAUCCUAUUAAAAGCAGUCUUGGAGCAGAUGAGUUGGAUUCAUUUUGCAUGAAGAUACCUAUUAAACCAUAUGAUCUAUGAGUGCACCUCAUGCUUCUAUGCAAAUUCCUGAGAUCUUGAAAUUUUUGUUUUGGAUGCAAAACAAAUUAUUUUUUAACACUUCCCCACAGCUUUGGCGCCAGUCUUUGUCAUUUUUGUAUUUAAUGGGUCACAAGUUUAGGAAUACUGGUUGUUGAUUUAUGUUAGACAUUGGAAAUAUCUAUUAUAAAAUGAUAGACAUUUCUCACUAUAUCACAGUUAAUUCAUCCUGCUGUCUAAGAUCAUCUAGUGGUACACUGCCUUUGAUUUCAACUGCAAAGUGCCUCCGAAACUGUUGAGUCCCCAAACCAUUUGCAAAAUACAUACUUGUCUUGAAAUUCUGCUCAACCCUAUGAAAAAGAGGUUGACUGUUGACUUUGCACAGCAGAUUACACUGACAAAAAGAUAUUACUUUUCCUUUUUCUUUAAAUAUAGCAGACACACAACUAAUAGAAAAUCUAAUUCUGCUCCUGGUGGUAUAAAGAUUCAACUGUGCACUGGAAUUUACCUGUUGCCUACUUUUAGAACUCCAAUUUUUUUGUUAAAUAUGUUAGUGGCAAAACAUAUCCCCUUUCUAUUAUGCUGUAUGUUUCUAACACUAACCUAAAAUUCCAGUCACAGAACGAUGUUCUAAGUGGAAAUAUGCA